This 497-nucleotide ribosomal RNA is filed under the name uncultured bacterium. RNAcentral describes it as "partial 16S ribosomal RNA". It matches the Rfam family "Bacterial small subunit ribosomal RNA", at positions 28 to 507 of the family's 1533-position model. The record is from RNAcentral.
GACGAACGCUGGCGGCGUGCCUAAUACAUGCAAGUUGAGCGAUGAAGAUUGGUGCUUGCACCAAUUUGAAGAGCAGCGAACGGGUGAGUAACGCGUGGGGAAUCUGCCUUUGAGCGGGGGACAACAUUUGGAAACGAAUGCUAAUACCGCAUAACAACUUUAAACAUAAGUUUUAAGUUUGAAAGAUGCAAUUGCAUCACUCAAAGAUGAUCCCGCGUUGUAUUAGCUAGUUGGUGAGGUAAAGGCUCACCAAGGCGAUGAUACAUAGCCGACCUGAGAGGGUGAUCGGCCACAUUGGGACUGAGACACGGCCCAAACUCCUACGGGAGGCAGCAGUAGGGAAUCUUCGGCAAUGGACGAAAGUCUGACCGAGCAACGCCGCGCGAGUGAAGAAGGUUUUCGGAUCGUAAAACUCUGUUGGUAGAGAAGAACGUUGGUGAGAGUGGAAAGCUCAUCAAGUGACGGUAACUACCCAGAAAGGGACGGCUAACUACGUA